Molecule: unclassified non-coding RNA, 2915 nt
Filed under: Haliotis rubra (blacklip abalone)
Lineage: Eukaryota; Metazoa; Mollusca; Gastropoda; Lepetellida; Haliotidae
Description: probable nuclear hormone receptor HR3, transcript variant X2
Source: RNAcentral
CCCAGCUAACAAGUAGUGCGAGUUAUUUUUAUCUUCAACCUGAUGUUGGUGUUUUGAGUCUAAAUAUUCCUUUAGUACGGGGAGAUUCAAGAAAAAUUUACGAAUGCUGAGUUAAAAGAAUGUCAACUAAUAUGAAAGAUAUCGAGACAAUACCGACUACAGUCCCAGAAGGCACCCCAUUACCCAUAGAAGCACAGUCAGUCGAAAACUUUGGUUCCUGGGUUCCCACUCCAAGUAAAUCAUCAUCGUCAGGCCGAUUUGCCCAGAUUGAGGUUAUCCCGUGCAAGGUGUGCGGGGACAAGUCAUCGGGCGUUCAUUAUGGCGUUAUCACAUGUGAAGGCUGUAAGGGUUUCUUCCGGAGGAGUCAGUCCGGUCCAGUUAACUACCAAUGUCCUCGAAACAAGAACUGUGUAAUAGACAGGGUCAACCGGAACCGGUGCCAGUACUGUCGACUACAGAAGUGUAUAGCACUGGGCAUGUCCAGAGAUGCUGUGAAGUUUGGUCGAAUGUCAAAGAAACAGAGAGAGAAAGUUGAAGAUGAAGCUAAUAUGGUGAAACAAGGGCGUCUGAAUGGGUAUGAUGGUCUUCAAACUCCAUUUCCAACAAACAACAACAUUAACAACAUCAACAACAACAACAACAAUCAUCAGUUUGUGACGUUAUCGAGUCCCCAGUACGGGUAUCAGAGCAACGGCUACACCUACGCAACAAUAUCCGACCCACAGCCCGCACAGCAGGAGUUCCCAACAUGUACAAACAACGGCAGCUUUACUUCCACUACCACCACCACCACCACCACUACCACCACGCCACCACAUCCAGUCGCUCUGCUCCGAGCCAUAGACCUCAUGGACCCCGUAUCAUUUGGCAAGGCGGUGAUGGAGGCCCACAUGAGGACAUGUUUAUACAACAAUGACCAAAUAGAGACCCUGAAACAGAGACCAGCAACAGCAGAACAGGUGGUCGCCUACAAGAGUAUGACUCAUCGCCAGCUGUGGAUCGAGAUGGCCGAGAAGAUCACGCUUGCGGUACAACAGAUAAUUGAGUUUGCCAAGAUGGUCCCUGGUUUCAUGGAUCUGUCCCAGGACGACCAGAUCAUGCUGUUGAAAGCAGGGAGUUUUGAGCUGGCUCUGAUGCAGGUGUGUCGUGUGUACGAUAGUGCAUCCGAUAGCGUUAUAUUCGGCAAUAACUUCGUACCUUUAGAUGCCUUUUCAGUUCUCAGUGCAGAAGAGUCAAUACUGAUGAGGAGCAUCUUUGAAUUUGUAAAGAUUAUUCAAGACCUGAAAAUAACAGACAGCGAGCUGGCUCUCCUCAGUGCUCUGAUUUUAAUAAGUUCAGAUCGACCAGGUUUGAAAGACACAACUGAUAUCCAAAAACUACAUGAAAAAAUUUUGACAGCUCUGAAAUUAGAAAUUGGCGCCAACCACCACGAUGAUCAUGAAUUGCUUUCGAAGUUGUUGACACAAACCCCCAUUUUGCGGACAUUUUCUCUACACCAUAUUCGUGCUCUCAAUAGGUUUCGAGAGACUGCUGCUGAUGUAGAGUUCCCUGCCCUUCACAAAGAACUCUUCUCUGUGGAGACCAUAGAAUCAUCAUGAGAGAACUUCAGAUUCUAGGGAUGUGUUAAUUUUUCAAAGAUUCUGGUUGGAUGAUUUGUGUGACCUGACACUCCCUCUUCCAUAAAUGGAAUCUGCCAAAGCUGAGGCUGGAAGAGUUCAUCCAUGAUUUCAAGGGGUGUUGGAUAGAACAUAAUGAAAUACAUUUGAUUGUUCCAGAAUUCUGGGAAUGGAAGAGAAUUUUCCGCAUGUGCUUUGACAGAGGUCAGAGGUUGUUGCAAUGUGAUUAUUCAAAGUUGUUUUUCUUCCUUUUUUUUUUUUUCAAAAUGAAUAGCGUUUUACCACCAUCAUAGUGUAUAUUACAUAAUUCCUCCAUGCAUGUUGUGUGCUGUACCUAUCACACGUUUCACAUAUAUCGCCACCGUAUCACACGUGUGAGUGGACAAUACGAGCAGCACGGAGUCCUAUAGAUCUAGAUCUUGUAUAAUCGGGUUAUAUAUACUGUAUAGUUCUAUAUUCAUCCAUUAUCAUCCUACGAGAGUUACCAUUAUGUAGGUUAGUGUCUAAUUCUGAAAAUUUGAAUAUCGGUCAAAUUCCAGAAUCGCUCCUUAUGAUUGAAACAUUUCAGAAAUCACCAGCGAUUCCUCACAUGUGUUACGUCUAAUUAUCCCUUACCUCAAUCUUGAAUGGAUCCGUUACCAAAUCUGUUCUUUUCAUUGUAAACUUUAUUCACUCCUCAUUGUAAUAUCUUAUUUUCCCGCGCUGUUAAAAGACAGUUUCAGUGAGUUGUAGAGUGGUUGGAAUGCAACCAUUGCAGAUUUUUGUAAAAAUCAAGUUUCUGUUGAAUAUGUGCUUCAGAAAUAGUAAAAAUUCUUCAGCUGAAGGUUUGUGUGGGUCUGUAUUUUUUUAUAAUUUACAACGUUCGACAUAUUAAGAGCCUAAGCCAGGAGAAAAUGAGUGUCUUAUUUCAGCUGAUCCUGGUAUGUUGGUUCGGGUUGUUCUUUCAAUUUUUAAAAUAAUUGUUUUGUCAAAAUGGUAAUUUGCAGUAUUUGGGGUAUAAGCGUUUUUAGAAUGACAUUGUUGAAGAUUAAAAGUGAUGACUUUCUAUCUAUAGUGAACUGUAAUUAAAUUAAAAUAUUGAAAUAUUAUGGUGAAACUUGAAAAACACCCGAAAUUUAAUGAUGAUUAUUCAGAUAAAGGUCAAACAGGAAAUUUGAAAUAUAUAUUCUUUUUUGCACCUAAAGCCAUAAUGAACAUUUAAAAACUCGGAUUUCUCUGAUCUCUCUCUGUUUUGAAGACUUAUAAGAAGACAGGUUCAAGGUUGAGUAUCCAUAAAGUGGAAAGGGCAUGGGGUAGCCU